UACGUAGGGUGCGAGCGUUGUCCGGAAUUAUUGGGCGUAAAGGGCUCGUAGGCGGUUUGUCGCGUCGGGAGUGAAAACCCAGGGCUUAACUCUGGGCUUGCUUUCGAUACGGGCAGACUAGAGGUAUGCAGGGGAGAACGGAAUUCCUGGUGUAGCGGUGAAAUGCGCAGAUAUCAGGAGGAACACCGGUGGCGAAGGCGGGUCUCUGGGCCGUAACUGACGCUGAGGAGCGAAAGCGUGGGGAGCGAACAGG
Molecule: ribosomal RNA, 253 nt
Filed under: uncultured bacterium
Lineage: Bacteria
Description: partial 16S ribosomal RNA
Rfam family: Bacterial small subunit ribosomal RNA
Source: RNAcentral